UGUCUGCCAUACAUUAACAUAUAUCACUCAUAAUUAUAUAUAUAUAUAUAUAUAUAUAUAUAUAUAUAUAUAUAUAUAUCCCCUCCCUCUUGAACCUCCCUCCUCUCUCUUCCCCCAUCCCACCCCUCUAGGUUGUCACAGAGUGCCCGGCUGGGCUCCCUGUUACACAGCAGCUUCCCACUAAGGGUCUGUUUAUACAUGAUAGUGUAUAUAUGUCAGUGCUAUUUUCUCAAUUUGUCCUACCCUCUCCUUCCCUUGCUGUGUUCACCAGGUCAUUCUCCAUGUUUCUUUUGCAAAUGUUCUACAUCUUUGGUACACUUUUAAAACUGGAACACUGAUGAUUUUUAAAAUAUGUGUGUUUAAUAUAUUAAUAACUAUUCCUUUUGCCAUAUUUGCCACAUACCUAUUAUUUCCCAGUUUGCUGUUUGCCUUUUAAAUAGUUUGCAUGAUAUUUUGUAUCCAUUUUUCUUUUGUGAAUCUUUCCAUUGAUUUUAUCCUUAAAAAGUGUUUUUAUUUCUUCCCCAAAAACAAUAUUUUAGUUUGGAAUGGUUUGGAAAGAUGAGAAUAUUGUGAUCAAGGUUGCCCUGGUCCUCAGUGUGUGAAUACAUGGCUCAAAAAUGAAGCAGUUACUCUAACCCCACUACAUUUCUAGUCCCAGGAAAUGAGACAUUCCCAGAGAAAUGAAUCAUAUUUCAUGUCUGCUAAACAACAGAACUCAAGUAAUCUACAUCAAAAUAGUUGGCCAUAGAAACCUUCACAAAUGAAAAUUUUGCAACAUCAGAAACUAAGCCAAGUAAGAACCAUCCCACAUCACAAAGCCCAAAAUGCUAUAUCAAAUUACCAAUUUUCUGUGUAAUCUUGCUUUUUAGUUGUUUAUCUAAUGAAAUACUCCUUUGUUUCACCCAGAGAAACUUCUGGUCUCAAUCAUAACUUCCUCCCUCCCUCCUCCCCUCCCUCCUUCCUCCCCUCCCUCCCUUCCUCCUUCACUUCCUUCCUACCAGUGUGCAGUACACGAAUUUAUUAUGGACCUACAGUUGUUAUCACAGGAAAAUUAGCUUGGAGCAAGAUGGCCCCUGUCCUGGACCCAUGCUUCUAGGGACCUGCUCUUGUUU
RNAcentral lists this long non-coding RNA (1112 nucleotides) under Bos indicus x Bos taurus (hybrid cattle). RNAcentral's name for it is "lncRNA (ENSBIXG00005006023.1)". Lineage: Eukaryota; Metazoa; Chordata; Mammalia; Artiodactyla; Bovidae. The record is from RNAcentral.